AGUGAAUGCUGGCGGUAGGCCUAACACAUGCAAGUCGAACGGCAGCACAGUAAGAGCUUGCUCUUACGGGUGGCGAGUGGCGGACGGGUGAGGAAUACAUCGGAAUCUACUUUUUCGUGGGGGAUAACGUAGGGAAACUUACGCUAAUACCGCAUACGACCUACGGGUGAAAGCAGGGGAUCUUCGGACCUUGCGCGAUUGAAUGAGCCGAUGUCGGAUUAGCUAGUUGGCGGGGUAAAGGCCCACCAAGGCGACGAUCCGUAGCUGGUCUGAGAGGAUGAUCAGCCACACUGGAACUGAGACACGGUCCAGACUCCUACGGGAGGCAGCAGUGGGGAAUAUUGGACAAUGGGCGCAAGCCUGAUCCAGCCAUACCGCGUGGGUGAAGAAGGCCUUCGGGUUGCAAAGCCCUUUUGUUGGGAAAGAAAAGCAGCAGGUUAAUACCCCGCUGUUCUGACGGUACCCAAAGAAUAAGCACCGGCUAACUUCGUG
RNAcentral lists this ribosomal RNA (492 nucleotides) under uncultured bacterium. RNAcentral's name for it is "partial 16S ribosomal RNA". It matches the Rfam family "Bacterial small subunit ribosomal RNA", at positions 29 to 507 of the family's 1533-position model. The record is from RNAcentral.